RNAcentral lists this long non-coding RNA (1115 nucleotides) under Phoenix dactylifera (date palm). RNAcentral describes it as "long non-coding RNA (PDAC_LNC012947)". Lineage: Eukaryota; Viridiplantae; Streptophyta; Magnoliopsida; Arecales; Arecaceae. The record is from RNAcentral.
UUCAUAGUUGUCUUGCUCACGACAACUGAUCGUUGUCCAAAGCUGUGGCUGCCCUCUUUAAAUAAUUUGGUCUGUGAAAAAGAAGCUUGUUGUAGUAUAUUAAUAAUAUAAGAUUCGAUGUAUUUACAUAUGCUACUAAAUCAUAGUUAUCUCUUCGAUACAUGACGCGACGACUUCUGGAUCAGGCUCCAUCUUAUAAAUAACAUUAUGCAGAGCAUCAAGAAGUUCAUCAUCUAUACCAAUUCCACUUCCGUACGGAAACCAAAGAUUCAGGUAGUAUACUGCACAUAGACGACACCAACUUAUUACAAUUAUAAAAAUAUAUCCAUUAGUAUAAUUAUCAAUAUUAUCGCUUACCUGCUAGAUGCAAUUUUCUACCCAUUUGGGCUCCCCAUCACCGCUCAAUGAUGUCGAUGUACACGUGGACAUAGGCUACAUCUGCCUCCAUGAUCUAAGCCUUUGCCUUCUCUAUCAUGUGAAACAAAAAGCCCAUCUAGGGGUACCUCUCGCUAUCCACGGCCCGCAGCACUUCAUAUAAUGGUUUAAUAGUCUUGACUAUCGCAUUGGCCCGCUUCCAGAAUGACUGCUUGCUUACCAACUCUUCCAUCCUACUUCCUUCAGUGUCGGCCUGGGCAUAUCUACUUUCCUUCCACUCGGGAUGACAAACAUCUGACAUAGGGCUCCUUUAUUCUCGAUAAGGCUAUCAAGUGCAAUGUAGUUCGUAGCAAAUCGUGUGAAACCUGAUCUCAGAAUCUCUCCCCCUGCAUACUUUCUCAUCAACGAAAGAACCCAAGUAUGGCUAUAAAUAUACCUGAUGAUGCGUUGGGCUAUCUCUACCGUAUGUUGCACUCUACGGAGCUUUUCAAUGUCCAUCAAGAUGAGGUCGAUGCAAUGUGUAGCACAUGGGGUCCAAAAAAUUUGUGGUUACCGCUCCAUUAAGAUCUUCUCAGCCAACUUAUAUUACGGCUCAUUAUCAAUGAUGACCUACACGACAUUCUCCUCUCCAAUCUAAUCAAUCACCUCCUCCAUAAGUCUGAGGAUGUAUGAGACGUUGUGCACCUUAUCCGAAGCAUCAACUGACUUGUGGAAGGUCUUCGCAUCACAGUAUAUCAGAA